CACUAUCGUUAACUGAAUACAUAGGUUAACGAGGCGAACCGGGGGAACUGAAACAUCUAAGUACCCCGAGGAAAAGAAAUCAACCGAGAUUCCCCCAGUAGCGGCGAGCGAACGGGGAGCAGCCCAGAGUCUGAAUCAGCUUGUGUGUUAGUGGAACGGUCUGGAAAGUCCGACGGUACAGGGUGAUAGUCCCGUACACCAAAAUGCACAGGCUGUGAACUCGAAGAGUAGGGCGGGACACGUGGUAUCCUGUCUGAAUAUGGGGGGACCAUCCUCCAAGGCUAAAUACUCCUGACUGACCGAUAGUGAACCAGUACCGUGAGGGAAAGGCGAAAAGAACCCCGGCGAGGGGAGUGAAAAAGAACCUGAAACCGUGUACGUACAAGCAGUGGGAGCACCUUCGGGUGUGACUGCGUACCUUUUGUAUAAUGGGUCAGCGACUUAUAUUCUGUAGCAAGGUUAACCGUAUAGGGGAGCCGCAGGGAAACCGAGUCUUAACUGGGCGUUAAGUUGCAGGGUAUAGACCCGAAACCCGGUGAUCUAGCCAUGGGCAGGUUGAAGGUUGGGUAACACUAACUGGAGGACCGAACCGACUAAUGUUGAAAAAUUAGCGGAUGACUUGUGGCUGGGGGUGAAAGGCCAAUCAAACCGGGAGAUAGCUGGUUCUCCCCGAAAGCUAUUUAGGUAGCGCCUCGUGAAUUCAUCUUCGGGGGUAGAGCACUGUUUCGGCUAGGGGGUCAUCCCGACUUACCAACCCGAUGCAAACUACGAAUACCGAAGAAUGUUAUCACGGGAGACACACGGCGGGUGCUAACGUCCGUCGUGAAGAGGGAAACAACCCAGACCGCCAGCUAAGGUCCCAAAGUCAUGGUUAAGUGGGAAACGAUGUGGGAAGGCACAGACAGCCAGGAUGUUGGCUUAGAAGCAGCCAUCAUUUAAAGAAAGCGUAAUAGCUCACUGGUCGAGUCGGCCUGCGCGGAAGAUGUAACGGGGCUAAACCAUGCACCGAAGCUGCGGCAGCGACACUAUGUGUUGUUGGGUAGGGGAGCGUUCUGUAAGCCUGCGAAGGUGACCUGUGAGGGUUGCUGGAGGUAUCAGAAGUGCGAAUGCUGACAUAAGUAACGAUAAAGCGGGUGAAAAGCCCGCUCGCCGGAAGACCAAGGGUUCCUGUCCAACGUUAAUCGGGGCAGGGUGAGUCGACCCCUAAGGCGAGGCCGAAAGGCGUAGUCGAUGGGAAACAGGUUAAUAUUCCUGUACUUGGUGUUACUGCGAAGGGGGGACGGAGAAGGCUAUGUUAGCCGGGCGACGGUUGUCCCGGUUUAAGCAUGUAGGCUGGUUGUCCAGGCAAAUCCGGAUAAUCAAGGCUGAGGUGUGAUGACGAGGUACUACGGUGCUGAAGUAACAAAUGCCCUGCUUCCAGGAAAAGCCUCUAAGCAUCAGGUAACAUCAAAUCGUACCCCAAACCGACACAGGUGGUCAGGUAGAGAAUACCAAGGCGCUUGAGAGAACUCGGGUGAAGGAACUAGGCAAAAUGGUGCCGUAACUUCGGGAGAAGGCACGCUGGUGUGUAGGUGAAGUCCCUGCGGAUGGAGCUGAGACCAGUCGAAGAUACCAGCUGGCUGCAACUGUUUAUUAAAAACACAGCACUGUGCAAACACGAAAGUGGACGUAUACGGUGUGACGCCUGCCCGGUGCCGGAAGGUUAAUUGAUGGGGUUAUCCGUAAGGAGAAGCUCUUGAUCGAAGCCCCGGUAAACGGCGGCCGUAACUAUAACGGUCCUAAGGUAGCGAAAUUCCUUGUCGGGUAAGUUCCGACCUGCACGAAUGGCGUAAUGAUGGCCAGGCUGUCUCCACCCGAGACUCAGUGAAAUUGAACUCGCUGUGAAGAUGCAGUGUACCCGCGGCAAGACGGAAAGACCCCGUGAACCUUUACUAUAGCUUGACACUGAACAUUGAGCCUUGAUGUGUAGGAUAGGUGGGAGGCUUUGAAGCGUGGACGCCAGUCUGCGUGGAGCCAACCUUGAAAUACCACCCUUUAAUGUUUGAUGUUCUAACGUUGGCCCCUGACCGGGGUUGCGGACAGUGUCUGGUGGGUAGUUUGACUGGGGCGGUCUCCUCCCAAAGCGUAACGGAGGAGCACGAAGGUUAGCUAAUCCUGGUCGGACAUCAGGAGGUUAGUGCAAUGGCAUAAGCUAGCUUGACUGCGAGCGUGACGGCGCGAGCAGGUGCGAAAGCAGGUCAUAGUGAUCCGGUGGUUCUGAAUGGAAGGGCCAUCGCUCAACGGAUAAAAGGUACUCCGGGGAUAACAGGCUGAUACCGCCCAAGAGUUCAUAUCGACGGCGGUGUUUGGCACCUCGAUGUCGGCUCAUCACAUCCUGGGGCUGAAGUAGGUCCCAAGGGUAUGGCUGUUCGCCAUUUAAAGUGGUACGCGAGCUGGGUUUAGAACGUCGUGAGACAGUUCGGUCCCUAUCUGCCGUGGGCGCUGGAGAAUUGAGGGGGGCUGCUCCUAGUACGAGAGGACCGGAGUGGACGCAUCACUGGUGUUCGGGUUGUCAUGCCAAUGGCACUGCCCGGUAGCUAAAUGCGGAAGAGAUAAGUGCUGAAAGCAUCUAAGCACGAAACUUGCCCCGAGAUGAGUUCUCCCUGAGACUUUAAGUCUCCUGAAGGAACGUUGAAGACGAUGACGUUGAUAGGCCGGGUGUGUAAGCGCAGCGAUGCGUUGAGCUAACCGGUACUAAUGAACCGUGAGGCUUAACCUUACAACGCCGAAG
RNAcentral lists this ribosomal RNA (2770 nucleotides) under Klebsiella pneumoniae. RNAcentral's name for it is "bacterial LSU rRNA". It matches the Rfam family "Bacterial large subunit ribosomal RNA". Lineage: Bacteria; Pseudomonadati; Pseudomonadota; Gammaproteobacteria; Enterobacterales; Enterobacteriaceae. The record is from RNAcentral.